Small RNA from Pasteurella multocida subsp. multocida str. Pm70, 264 nucleotides. It matches the Rfam family "Aggregatibacter sRNA JA03". The record is from Rfam. Lineage: Bacteria; Pseudomonadati; Pseudomonadota; Gammaproteobacteria; Pasteurellales; Pasteurellaceae.
GACAAUAGUAUUAUUACCGUUCAUAACUCAAAAAUGUUGAUGUGACAACGCACAUCAUUUCCUUAUUUCAUCUUGCUUAAGUAGUAAAAGUGACCUGUGUAUAAGUCUGUGAUUUAUUUAUAUCGUAGUGUUUAUUAACUUUGUAACAGACUUCGCAUAAUGUAUAUUAUGUUAAAUAAAAUAGAAAAGUGACAAGUAGAUUUAACGUGACAUGCUCACUCGUGAAUGCAUGCACUAUUCUGUUAUUUUUAUGUGUAAUUCUUU